Molecule: long non-coding RNA, 253 nt
Organism: Amphimedon queenslandica
Lineage: Eukaryota; Metazoa; Porifera; Demospongiae; Haplosclerida; Niphatidae
Exons: 3
Source: RefSeq, a predicted model, not a curated record
CCUGCUAUAUCUGUCGUUGAUAGUCACGGAAAGGCAUCAGUUGCUUGCACUUAUAGUAAACUGGCUCUCAGGUCACAGAAAGUGGCUCAUUUCUUGCUCAACAAGUUAGGAGGUGGUAAACAAAUCCAACCUGGUGACAGAGUUGCUCUUGUGUUCAGAAAUGAUGAAGCUGCUACUUUUGCUAGUGCUUUCUGGGGUUGUCUGUAUGCUGCUAUCAUACCAGUUGCAAUUCAUCCUCCUUUAUCAAGAGAUG